RNAcentral lists this long non-coding RNA (235 nucleotides) under Lathyrus oleraceus (garden pea). Its description in RNAcentral is "Pisum sativum (pea) long non-coding RNA (PSAT_LNC040355)". Lineage: Eukaryota; Viridiplantae; Streptophyta; Magnoliopsida; Fabales; Fabaceae. The record is from RNAcentral.
AGAACAGUCAAACUGGGGCAUUGCAAAUGCAAUCAAAAAAAUCAAAUCAAAAAAAUAAUAAAAAAGGAAAGAGGGUGAAAAAAUAAGAAAAAAUCAAAAAAUCAGGAAAAAAUUUUCAAAUCUUUUCAAAAGAAAAAAGAGAAAAAGCAUACCCUCAAGUCCCUAGUUGACUGAUGCUGAAUGGAUUCAGAGUCGUUAUGACCAACUGAAUUUGAUUGAAGAGAAGAGAUUGACU